Molecule: long non-coding RNA, 347 nt
Organism: Entelurus aequoreus (snake pipefish)
Lineage: Eukaryota; Metazoa; Chordata; Actinopteri; Syngnathiformes; Syngnathidae
Exons: 3
Source: RefSeq, a predicted model, not a curated record
ACAAAGGCAAUGAAGAUGGCUGCGCUGUCAGGAAGUGGACUCAAGUGACACAUGAAGUGUCUUUUCUUUGGCUUGCACACCAUUCCGUCUCCAGGAGGAGCAUUUCUUCAAAACAUUACAAGAACGUGUGCAAAAACAUGUUAUUGAUGGUUAGGUGGGGGUGAAGGUUGUGUCCACCAGGAGGCGAGAGGAAGAGCAGAAGCAGCUUGCAGGUGCGAUAUCCCUCCUUCCCAGCAGUUGUCUCCAGUAUCCCCCCCCCCCCAUACCCUCCACAUGCUUGAUGAUCUUGCACUCUUCCGCCAUGAUGUUUACUCUGGGGCGAGCCAAGGCGGAGAGGAGAGACGGGG